UCCUCAAAGAAAUAUCCCCCAUUGCAACCAGAAAGCUACUGAGCUCAGUAUCCCUAAUGUUCAACAAACUCGCCACAUUCGCAAGAACUUGCGCCGAUGAAACCACAUUGGAGGGUAAAUUCUCCUGCGCCAUCCCCACGCUCUCCAAAAUCUCUCUGAUCCUCGCCGCUUGGGCGCGGUACUCGGCGGCCUUGAGGCGGAAGUCUUUGGCCAGAAUCUCGG
Molecule: unclassified non-coding RNA, 222 nt
Filed under: Hevea brasiliensis (rubber tree)
Lineage: Eukaryota; Viridiplantae; Streptophyta; Magnoliopsida; Malpighiales; Euphorbiaceae
Source: RNAcentral